UGGGGAAUAUUGCACAAUGGGCGCAAGCCUGAUGCAGCCAUGCCGCGUGUAUGAAGAAGGCCUUCGGGUUGUAAAGUACUUUCAGCGGGGAGGAAGGGAGUAAAGUUAAGACCUUUACUCAUUGACGUUACCCGCAGAAGAAGCACCGGCUAACUCCGUGCCAGCAGCCGCGGUAAUACGGAGGGUGCAAGCGUUAAUCGGAAUUACUGGGCGUAAAGCGCACGCAGGCGGUCUGUCAAGUCGGAUGUGAAAUCCCCGGGCUUAACCUGGGAACUGCAUUCGAAACUGGCAGGCUAGAGUCUUGUAGAGGGGGGUAGAAUUCCAGGUGUAGCGGUGAAAUGCGUAGAGAUCUGGAGGAAUACCGGUGGCGAAGGCGGCCCCCUGGACAAAGACUGACGCUCAGGUGCGAAAGCGUGGGGAGCAAACAGG
RNAcentral lists this ribosomal RNA (429 nucleotides) under Chloroflexota bacterium. RNAcentral describes it as "Chloroflexi bacterium partial 16S ribosomal RNA". It matches the Rfam family "Bacterial small subunit ribosomal RNA", at positions 355 to 776 of the family's 1533-position model. The record is from RNAcentral. Lineage: Bacteria; Bacillati; Chloroflexota.